UUACCUUUGGAGAAAGGCUCCUAGAGUAACUCCUCUUCGAGCUCUUCCUCACCCUUGGGGAAAGGCUUCGAGAGUAACUCCUUGAACUUCUUUUUGAUGUAGGAGAAAUGCUGCAUGAGUAGCUCCUCCUUGAGCUCCUUCUUGGUCUAGGGGAAAUGCUGCUUGAGUAGCUCCUCCUUGAGCCUCUCCUCGUCCUUGGUGGGGUAGGACUCCGGGAGACAGAAGGAUGAUGAUAUCUUCUAUAGU
This 246-nucleotide unclassified non-coding RNA is filed under the name Hevea brasiliensis (rubber tree). The record is from RNAcentral. Lineage: Eukaryota; Viridiplantae; Streptophyta; Magnoliopsida; Malpighiales; Euphorbiaceae.